UCCUGGGAUCGAGUCCCACAUCGGGCUCCCUGCUCAGCAGGGAGCCUGCUUCUCCCUCUGCCUGCUGCUCCCCCUGCUUGUGCACACGCUCUCUCUCUCAUAAAAUCUUUUUUAAAAAAAAAAAACUUCAGAAUAAAACUUUUGUUUUUAAAGAUGCUUUAGGAAAAACCAUAAGAAAUUACAGUUAGGCCUAAACGCACACACAUGGCCUAAAAUGAAUGCUAUAUGAAGAUUUGCACCAACAGUUUCCAUGAAACUACCUUUUUAUCUAGUCCCUGUAUUUCUGAACAUUAAUUUGCUAUACGACUUAACAAGAGCAAAGGCUAAUAGGUUAAGUUUCUGAGUCUCCACUCGUUGAACCCAUAUUGUCUGCUUUGUGCCAGGCACUAAUGCCGGUGGCAGAGACCAAGAGCAACCAGAAGCCCUCUCACUGCCCUCCUGGAGAUCACACACAUUGCAGAGUGGUAAGGGUGAGGGAGGACCAGCAGAAUAAAGAACAGUGGGGAUGCCAAUUUGUAUUAAAAGUCUUUAAGUUCAAAGCCAUGAGGGAAGUCCAGAAGGAUGAGCAGCGCUACUCCAUCAAUUGAUCCUGAAAGCCAGGUUUCGUCUAUCUUGUUCUGCCACCUUCCUGUAGUGAAGAUCUGCUGAUAAUGAAUCCUCUUGGUUUUUGUUUAUCGGAGAAAGUUUUUUAUUUCUCCUUCAUUUUAGAAAGAUAUUGUUGCCAGCUAUAGAACUCUGAUUUAACUCUUUUUUCUCCCCUGUCCUUUAAGAUGUCACUCCACUAUCUUAUGGCUUGAAAAUAAAUCUGUUGUACUUCUUUCCUUUAUACCACGUGUGUGUUUUCCCCCUCUGGUUGCCUCUAAGAUUU
This is a long non-coding RNA of Mirounga angustirostris (Northern elephant seal), 868 nucleotides long. RefSeq lists it as uncharacterized. The transcript is spliced from 3 exons. The record is from RefSeq and is a predicted model, not a curated record. Lineage: Eukaryota; Metazoa; Chordata; Mammalia; Carnivora; Phocidae.